AAACACACACUCUGCAUUAUAUACACAGAGUGUGCAUUAUAUACACACACUCUGUGUAUAUAAUGCAGAGUGUGUAUAU
Pelobates cultripes (western spadefoot toad) is the source of this 79-nucleotide non-coding RNA. Lineage: Eukaryota; Metazoa; Chordata; Amphibia; Anura; Pelobatidae. The record is from the annotation of a GenBank genome assembly.